This is a regulatory RNA element of Oryctolagus cuniculus (rabbit), 172 nucleotides long. It matches the Rfam family "Spi-1 (PU.1) 5' UTR regulatory element". Rfam says of the family: Spi-1 regulates myeloid gene expression during haemopoietic development. This family represents a regulatory element found in the 5' UTR of Spi-1 mRNA which is able to inhibit the translation Spi-1 transcripts by 8-fold. Mutations in this regulatory region of the 5' UTR can lead to overexpression of Spi-1 which has been linked to erythroleukemic transformation. The record is from Rfam. NCBI's taxonomy places the organism in Eukaryota, Metazoa, Chordata, Mammalia, Lagomorpha, Leporidae.
CUCACCCAGGGCUUCCUGUAGCUCAGGGGGCAGGCCUGAGCCCUGCGUCCGCCCCCCCCCCCCCCCACCGCCCCCACGGGGCUCCCCAUUCCGAGGGUGUCCCCACCGGGCUCCCACCCAAAAUAAGGAUCUGAACGUUCUAAAUUUUUCUGGAGGGUUCAAGGCGGUUAAA